CUACGCGCACCGGAAGACGGAGGUCCUCUUUCCUUGCCUAACGCAGCCAUGACUCGUGGUCCCAAGAAGCAUCUGAAGCGGGUAGCAGCUCCAAAGCAUUGGAUGCUGGAUAAAUUGACUGGUGUGUUUGCUCCUCGUCCAUCCACCGGUCCCCACAAGUUGAGAGAGUGUCUCCCCCUCAUCAUUUUCCUAAGGAACAGACUUAAGUAUGCCCUGACAGGAGAUGAAGUAAAGAAGAUUUGCAUGCAGCAGUUCAUUAAGAUCGAUGGCAAGGUCCGAACUGAUAUAACGUAGCCUGCUGGAUUCAUGGAUGUCAUCAGCAUUGACAAGACGGGAGAGAAUUUCCGUCUGAUCUAUGACACCAAGGGUCGCUUUGCUGUACAUCGUAUUACACCUGAGGAGGCCAAGUACAAGUUAUGCAAAGUGAGAAAGAUCUUUGUGGGCACAAAAGGAAUCCCUCAUCUGGUGACUCAUGAUGCCCGCACCAUCCGCUACCCCGAUCCCCUCAUCAAGGUGAAUGAUACCAUUCAGAUUGAUUUGGAGACUGGCAAGAUUACUGAUUUCAUCAAGUUCGACACUAGUAACCUGUGUAUGGUGACUGGAGGUGCUAACCCGGGAAGAAUUGGUGUGAUCACCAACAGAGAGAGGCAUCCUGGAUCUUUUGACGUGGUUCACGUGAAAGAUGCCAAUGGCAACAGCUUUGCCACUCGACUUUCCAACAUUUUUGUUAUUGGCAAGGGCAACAAACCAUGGAUUUCUCUUCCCCGAGGAAAGGGUAUCCGCCUCACCAUUGCUGAAGAGAGAGACAAAAGACUGGCGGCCAAACAGAGCAGUGGGUGAAAUGGGUCCCUGGGUGCCAUGUCAGAGCUUUGUAUGUAAUUAAAAAUAUUGUGGCAGGAUAAA
This is an RNA transcript of Mandrillus leucophaeus (drill), 903 nucleotides long. It is a transcript of the gene named 40S ribosomal protein S4, X isoform-like, with no coding region annotated. The record is from RefSeq and is a predicted model, not a curated record. The transcript has a single exon. Lineage: Eukaryota; Metazoa; Chordata; Mammalia; Primates; Cercopithecidae.